RNAcentral lists this ribosomal RNA (446 nucleotides) under bacterium SV03. RNAcentral's name for it is "bacterial SSU rRNA". It matches the Rfam family "Bacterial small subunit ribosomal RNA", at positions 20 to 508 of the family's 1533-position model. The record is from RNAcentral.
UGGCUCAGAGCGAACGCUGGCGGCAGGCCUAACACAUGCAAGUCGAACGCACCUUCGGGUGAGUGGCGGACGGGUGAGUAACACGUGGGAACGUACCUUUUGGUUCGGAAUAACGCAGGGAAACUUGUGCUAAUACCGAAUGUGCCCUUCGGGGGAAAGAUUUAUCGCCAUUAGAGCGGCCCGCGUUAGAUUAGCUAGUUGGUGAGGUAAAGGCUCACCAAGGCUACGAUCUAUAGCUGGUCUGAGAGGAUGAUCAGCCACACUGGGACUGAGACACGGCCCAGACUCCUACGGGAGGCAGCAGUGGGGAAUCUUGCGCAAUGGGCGAAAGCCUGACGCAGCCAUGCCGCGUGAAUGCAUGAAGGUUCUUAGGCAUUGUAAAAUUCAUUUCAGUAGGGCACGAUAAUGACGGUACCUACAUAAGAAGCCCCGAGCUAAUUCUGUGC